Aedes albopictus (Asian tiger mosquito) is the source of this 1980-nucleotide long non-coding RNA. RefSeq lists it as uncharacterized. NCBI's taxonomy places the organism in Eukaryota, Metazoa, Arthropoda, Insecta, Diptera, Culicidae. The transcript has 2 exons. The record is from RefSeq and is a predicted model, not a curated record.
CAAUUAAGGCUAUGGGCACAACAAUUGAAAAACAAUAGAUUUUUAUGUUAACAUUGCUUUCUAUUGUGAAUGUAUUAUACAUUAUAUUUUAAAAUAUGAUUCUUUAUAAUGAUUACAAUUGGUUCACAUUAGAUUUCAUUGUUACAUAGACAAAUAAUAGAUUAACAUUUGAAUUCAUUGUUACUUUUGGAUUCAGCGUUCAAACCAUUGGUUUACAAUAGAAUGUAUCAGCUACAUUGAAAUGUACCGUUUUUCAAUGGUCUGAACGUUUAAAAAAAACCCUGCUUUUAAGUAAUUUCGAAACAGUGUGUAUCGAUGACAGCCAAGUUUUUUUGUUAUCAGUUUGGUCGUCGGCGGUAAAAUUUUUCGAAGUGCAGGUUCGUCUGCGGAAAAUGUGGAAAAUUCACGCUCAACUGCGUGAAUUUUCCGCACGGGAGUGAUUAUAGUGUGCGGUGCACUGUAAAAGCAUACAACAGUAGCAGCAUUUCAACAGGAGUCGCAAGGACAUGAAGCCUGUGUAGGAGCAGUUAGCUCACAGCUUGUUCGAUCGCAUUGCGGUCGAAGGAAUGCGCACGAUUAGGACUGAUCGCUGCAUAGACGAGAACUAGGAGCGCUGAGAAGAGAACGGGGAUGCGGAAUUCUGGAUCAAGGAACUUUGUGGUUUUAUUUUGAAAGCACCGAUCGGUUCAGUAGUUUCCGAGUCUAUUAGGGUCAGACAGACAGACAUACAUUAGUAACUCAUUUUUAUAUAUAAAGAUAGAUAGAUGGAUACCAGGAUAGAUCAAGGGGAAUGACAUAUCCUUUUCUAACCGGAAUAUCCGCUUCUAACCGUCGCUAACCGUUGCUAAGCGAGCUGCUAAGUGAGCAGAAGUUAGACGCGGUUAGCGACGGUUAGAAAAGGAUAAAUGCGGAUAUUCCGGUUAGGAAAGGAUAUGUCAUUCCCCUUGGGAUAGAUAGAUAUUUCAAUUUUACCAUUCUAAUUUGACUGCAUUUUUUCCUUUACAUCAAACUCGUUCAGUGAAACAUGUUAUUUUUGUGUUAUUUUUUUUAAUAUUGGUUCGCUCUUCAAACCUGGAACGCAUGUAUAGUUUAUUAUCAAAUGUGACGAAAUUGCAUGCAAUCAUUCGUAAAUAACAAACGACUCACAAAUGUACCAUUUGAACGCUUCUUUGAAUUUGAACGAUCUUCUAAUAUAGGUUCAAGCUGUAGUAUAUCGAGUAUUUUUAAGUGCUACAAAAAAGGUUAAGCACGCUGUAAUGUUACUUUUGUACCUCAUCACCCAAUAAAUGCAACUACAUUAGUGGACUAAUAACACUUAGCGCGCUUAGGCACGGUUCCAUCAUGCCGCUUAUAGUGUUGCCACAUAUAAUGCUUAGUCUGCUAAACCCAGUUAUCUGGCUGUGGGGCAUGGGAGCCAAAGCUUCAACCAUCAUUGCAAUUAAACAUUACUCGAUUUACUACAUGAGUGAUCCAAAUAUUUGAUAAUUGUUCGAUCUGUUUUUGAAAUGUAGCUUAAAUUAUACAAGCUUCUAGUCUAAAUACAUAAUAAUAGUUCAGUUUUGCUUCAUUCCGGAUUUGCUCAAGCAGUUUAUAUUGUUUGUUAAGUUAAACUUAGAGGUUGAAGUUAGAAUUGUCUGAUUCACAAUAGAAAACAAUUUCCAAACCAUUCGAUUUAAUGUAAAAAUAGUGCAAAACAAUAUGUUCUGCAUCACAAUAGACAACAAUUCCAAAACAAUUGAAUCUAACGUGGAGCCAGUAAUAAAGUCACUGCUCAAAGCAACACGUUUACUGUACAUUUCACUGUUUAGAACAAUUUAAAAACAUAAGAAUCUUCUGUAUCACAAUAGGAAACAAUACCCAAACAAUUGAAUUCAAUGUAAAAGCAGUACAAACUGUAUGUUCUGCUUCACAAUAGAAAACAAUUUCAAAACAAUUGAAUCAAAUGUGGAACCAGAAAUAAAAUCACUACCCAAAACAAUA